UGGGGAAUAUUGGACAAUGGGCGAAAGCCUGAUCCAGCCAUGCCGCGUGUGUGAAGAAGGUCUUCGGAUUGUAAAGCACUUUAAGUUGGGAGGAAGGGCAGUAAGCGAAUACCUUGCUGUUUUGACGUUACCGACAGAAUAAGCACCGGCUAACUCUGUGCCAGCAGCCGCGGUAAUACAGAGGGUGCAAGCGUUAAUCGGAAUUACUGGGCGUAAAGCGCGCGUCGGUGGUUCGUUAAGUUGAAUGUGAAAGCCCCCGGCUCAACCUGGGAACUGCAUCCAAAACUGGCGAGCUAGAGUAGGGCAGAGGGUGGUGGAAUUUCCUGUGUAGCGGUGAAAUGCGUAGAUAUAGGAAGGAACACCCGUGGCGAAGGCGACCACCUGGGCUCAUACUGACACUGAGGUGCGAAAGCGUGGGGAGCAAACAGG
RNAcentral lists this ribosomal RNA (429 nucleotides) under Pseudomonadota bacterium. RNAcentral's name for it is "Proteobacteria bacterium partial 16S ribosomal RNA". It matches the Rfam family "Bacterial small subunit ribosomal RNA", at positions 355 to 776 of the family's 1533-position model. Lineage: Bacteria; Pseudomonadati; Pseudomonadota. The record is from RNAcentral.